CAGAAAUGGGGCCUCCUUUGAGGACAAGAAAAGCAUUUCGGAUCGCCUUAUCGCUGAUUAAAGCAGUCAUCCUUUGGCCUGAAGGGAGCUCCUAAUUCUU
Molecule: non-coding RNA, 100 nt
Organism: Amborella trichopoda
Lineage: Eukaryota; Viridiplantae; Streptophyta; Magnoliopsida; Amborellales; Amborellaceae
Source: Rfam